Molecule: non-coding RNA, 29 nt
Filed under: Cricetulus griseus (Chinese hamster)
Lineage: Eukaryota; Metazoa; Chordata; Mammalia; Rodentia; Cricetidae
Source: RNAcentral
AGUCCAUUGUGAGAUGUAGGAAAACCAGG